This 397-nucleotide ribosomal RNA is filed under the name Eneoptera nigripedis. Its description in RNAcentral is "partial 12S ribosomal RNA". The record is from RNAcentral. Lineage: Eukaryota; Metazoa; Arthropoda; Insecta; Orthoptera; Gryllidae.
UAUUAUUCUUAAUGAUUGGUUAUUAUCUGGGUAGUAAUAGUUAAGUUCUUGAAACCCAAAGAAUUUGGCGGUGUUUUAGUCUUUUCAGGGGAAUCUGUUCCAUAAUUGAUGAUACACGAUUUGUUAUACUUGAUUUUGUUAUCAGUUUGUAUAUCGCCGUCGUAGGAUUAUUUUUUUUGAGAAUUAUUAAUUUUCUUUAAAUUUCAUUAGAUUUUAUGUCAGGUCAAGGUGCAGCUUAUAAUUAAGUGGAAAUGGAUUACAAUAAUAUGAAUUAUAUGAAUAAUUAUUUAAGGUUAAUUUGAAGGUGGAUUUGAUUGUAAAUUUAUUUUGAUUUUUAUUUUGAUUUUGGCUCUAGAAUGUGUACAUAUCGCCCGUCGCUCUCGUUUUUUAAAGUGAG